Erpetoichthys calabaricus (reedfish) is the source of this 266-nucleotide long non-coding RNA. RefSeq lists it as uncharacterized. The record is from RefSeq and is a predicted model, not a curated record. The transcript has 2 exons. Lineage: Eukaryota; Metazoa; Chordata; Cladistia; Polypteriformes; Polypteridae.
AAAGUCAGAGAGGUGAGAUUGCGUUGGUUUGGACAUGUGCAGAGGAAAGAUGCUGGGUAUAUUGGGAGAAGGAUGCUAAGGAUAGAGCUGCCAGGGAAGAGGAAAAGAGGAAGGCCUAAGCGAAGGUUUAUGGAUGUGGUGAGAGAGGACAUGCAGGUGAUGGGUGUAACAGAACAAGAUUCAGAGGACAGAAAGAUAUGGAAGAAGAUGAUCCGCUGUGGCAACCCCUAACGGGAGCAGCCGAAAGAAGAAGAAGAAGAAGAAUU